CCUACGGGAGGCAGCAGUGAGGAAUAUUGGACAAUGGGCGCAAGCCUGAUCCAGCCAUGCCGCGUGCAGGAAGACGGUCCUAUGGAUUGUAAACUGCUUUUGUACAGGAAGAAACACUCCCUCGUGAGGGAGCUUGACGGUACUGUAAGAAUAAGGAUCGGCUAACUCCGUGCCAGCAGCCGCGGUAAUACGGAGGAUCCAAGCGUUAUCCGGAAUCAUUGGGUUUAAAGGGUCCGUAGGCGGUUUAAUAAGUCAGUGGUGAAAUCUGGUCGCUCAACGAUCAAACGGCCAUUGAUACUGUUAGACUUGAAUUAUUAGGAAGUAACUAGAAUAUGUAGUGUAGCGGUGAAAUGCUUAGAUAUUACAUGGAAUACCCAAUUGCGAAGGCAGGUUACUACUAAUGGAUUGACGCUGAUGGACGAAAGCGUGGGGAGCGAACAGGAUUUAGAUACCCUGGUAGUCCACGCCGUAAACGAUGGAUACUAGCUGUUCGGAGCAAUUCNGNGUGNAGAGAGAGANAGUAUACCACCNCGGAGAGUCGCGAGAGAGAAGACGAAGAAGUAGACGCGUGAGAGAGACGACGACGACGACGAGGGAGGAGG
This 602-nucleotide ribosomal RNA is filed under the name uncultured bacterium. RNAcentral describes it as "bacterial SSU rRNA". The stretch from base 1 to 530 matches the Rfam family "Bacterial small subunit ribosomal RNA", at positions 338 to 873 of the family's 1533-position model. The record is from RNAcentral.